UGUGAGUGGUGACGGAGACGGACUUCAAAU
Molecule: transfer RNA, 30 nt
Filed under: Scrippsiella trochoidea
Lineage: Eukaryota; Dinophyceae; Peridiniales; Peridiniaceae
Description: partial Selenocysteine transfer RNA
Source: RNAcentral